AGGGAUGGAAAACAGAAAUAAGGCAGCGUCAGAACCUGAUGCUAGUGAUCUUUGAAGAUUAGCCAUUUUAUGGGGAUAGGCAUUGUGACACGUUCUAUGUGGUCGAGUGCUGUGACAGCAGUCAGUGAACUCAGCACUUAGGAGGUAGAUUAGAUAUGCAGAUGAUGUGCUUACAGACCCCAUGCUGUGUUUCUCCACAUUCACAGUGGUCUUAAGCAUCCAUUCUACUAUGUGCACGAGUUGACGUCACUCCAGUGGUUUCAUUCUGUGACCUUUAGACACCAGGGGGUUGAUGUUAGCUAUAUGUGAUCCAGGACAGCAGAGAUUCAGUGGUUAAGGCCCCAUUUGUCUUAUCUGCAUCAGAUCUGAACCCACUCUGAUUGCCACCCAUGAUGAGUACAUUGGGUUCCAUUGAAUAGGGUUUUCUCUCCCUACCCAUGAAACACCAUCAUGGAGAGGAGAGGCUAUCUAUAGUUGGACAUCCCGGAGCCCAUGCACAGUCAGCACAUCCCAGGUCACAUGUAGUGCCUGCCCAUUCAAAGGAAAGCAGUCACGGUGCCGGUCCAAAGGACUGAUGUCAUAGUGUCUGUCUCAUGGCUGAUGUCACAGUGUUUGUCUACAUGGCUGAUGUAAAAGUGUCUAUCCAAGGGACAGCAGUCACAGUGCCCACUCACCUGGCAAAGCAUCUCAAAGGCACUUGCUCCCAAGGCAGACCCCAAAGUGUCCAGACACAAGGCAGAUGUCACAGAGUCUACCCUCAUGGCAAGUAUUAUUGUGGCCAACCCCACAACAUCCAGCAAGAAGGCAAGCACAGAGACCACUCACACUGCGGCCAACUUCUGGGGCUCUACUUACAUAGCAGCCCAGAACACAGUGACCAUUCGCUCUUCGGAUUUCACAAUGCCCAUAUACACAGACAACCAUGUAGGCCCUAUCCAUACAACCCAUCUCAGAGUUCCUGUCCACAUUGCUGAUAUCAUGGUGCCCAUUCAUGGAGCAGAUGUCACUGUGCCCAUCCACACAGAGGAUAUCACAGUGCCUGUCCACACAGCAGACAUCACUGUCCCCAUCCACAGAACCAAUUGUGUGGGCUCUUUGUACUUUUCAGAAAUCACAGAGUCCAUACAAGUGCCCAGUCUCCCAGUUCCUGUCCACACAUCCAAUUUCUCAAGCCCUCUGCACACAGAAGAUAUCAUAGAGACUAUCCAAGACCUUAUGGAGCCUGGCCACUCCCACUUCACAGGCCCUGUCCACACCUCAGACCUCACUGUGCCUGUGCACAUGGCAGAUAUGACCGUACCUAUUGUCAUGGCAGAUGUUAUGGUGCCCAUCUGCACAGCAGACAUUACACUGCCAGUCCAUCGGGCAGACAUCACAAUGCCCAGCAAUACAUCAAUUCACCCCAGUUUCCAGAAGCUGAUGGGCAAUCUUCUGAGUGAAUCCUUCAACAUGCUGAAACCUGUUGGUUCAGUCCAUUAACUACCACUCACCCGUUUCAUGUGAUGGCACCAUUUAAUAUGCAGUGGAGAAACAGGCUACCAAGACGAAGCUAAGAGACCAGGCCAACAUGAACCAUGGAAAAGCUUUUCUUCUAUAUCCUCUGAAGAAUCUGGAGGCAACUGAGGAAAACAUGGAGACCAGUCCCAUUAAAUCUUCCACUUGGAUACCCUAGGACCCAGUCCUUAAGCUGGUCAGGUGAAAAGGUUGUCAACCUGAAGGGGCAGCACUCAUUCCUUAUGCUUGAAAGUAAUCACUUGAAUGAAUGACUUGAAAACAAUUUGUAAGACCAAAAGAUAAGAGAACAUAAUAAAAACGAAAACAAGAAA
Sarcophilus harrisii (Tasmanian devil) is the source of this 1826-nucleotide RNA transcript. RefSeq lists it as uncharacterized. The transcript is spliced from 3 exons. NCBI's taxonomy places the organism in Eukaryota, Metazoa, Chordata, Mammalia, Dasyuromorphia, Dasyuridae. The record is from RefSeq and is a predicted model, not a curated record.